GAUGAACGCUGGCGGCGCGCCUAACACAUGCAAGUCGAACGGCACCUAUCUUCGGAUAGAAGCGAGUGGCGAACGGCUGAGUAACACGUGGAGAACCUGCCCCCUCCCCCGGGAUAGCCGCCCGAAAGGACGGGUAAUACCGGAUACCCCGGGGUGCCGCAUGGCACCCCGGCUAAAGCCCCGAGGGGAGGGGAUGGCUCCGCGGCCCAUCAGGUAGACGGCGGGGUGACGGCCCACCGUGCCGACAACGGGUAGCCGGGUUGAGAGACCGACCGGCCAGAUUGGGACUGAGACACGGCCCAGACUCCUACGGGAGGCAGCAGUGGGGAAUCUUGCGCAAUGGGGGGAACCCUGACGCAGCGACGCCGCGUGCGGGACGGAGGCCUUCGGGUCGUAAACCGCUUUCAGCAGGGAAGAGUCAAGACUGUACCUGCAGAAGAAGCCCCGGCUAACUACGUGCCAGCAGCCGCGGUAAUACGUAGGGGGCGAGCGUUAUCCGGAUUCAUUGGGCGUAAAGCGCGCGUAGGCGGCCCGGCAGGCCGGGGGUCGAAGCGGGGGGCUCAACCCCCCGAAGCCCCCGGAACCUCCGCGGCUUGGGUCCGGUAGGGGAGGGUGGAACACCCGGUGUAGCGGUGGAAUGCGCAGAUAUCGAGUGGAACACCGGUGGCGAAGGCGGCCCUCUGGGCCGAGACCGACGCUGAGGCGCGAAAGCUGGGGGAGCGAACAGGAUUAGAUACCCUGGUAGUCCCAGCCGUA
RNAcentral lists this ribosomal RNA (756 nucleotides) under uncultured bacterium. RNAcentral's name for it is "bacterial SSU rRNA". It matches the Rfam family "Bacterial small subunit ribosomal RNA", at positions 28 to 804 of the family's 1533-position model. The record is from RNAcentral.